This is a long non-coding RNA of Rhipicephalus microplus (southern cattle tick), 225 nucleotides long. The record is from RefSeq and is a predicted model, not a curated record. Lineage: Eukaryota; Metazoa; Arthropoda; Arachnida; Ixodida; Ixodidae.
UGCGGACAUCAAGAGACCUGAGCAAGUCGUCUAAAUCCAAUGUCGUCUUCUCCAUGAUCCACUGCGGAUCUCGAAUCUCUCUGGACAAUGUGCCGUUCCGAGUUGUGAAGGAAACCGUCAAAGUGUGCAUAUUUGGAACGGAGUACUACAAGAAAACUCAGGAGAAAAAAAAAAAAAGAACAGAGUUCAAGUACCACUGACUGGCAGAAGGAGGUGUACGAGAAG